This 488-nucleotide ribosomal RNA is filed under the name uncultured soil bacterium. RNAcentral describes it as "bacterial SSU rRNA". It matches the Rfam family "Bacterial small subunit ribosomal RNA", at positions 26 to 509 of the family's 1533-position model. The record is from RNAcentral.
AGAUUGAACGCUGGCGGCAUGCCUUACACAUGCAAGUCGAACGGCAGCACGGGAGCAAUCCUGGUGGCGAGUGGCGAACGGGUGAGUAAUACAUCGGAACGUGCCCAAUCGUGGGGGAUAACGCAGCGAAAGCUGUGCUAAUACCGCAUAAGAUCUACGGAUGAAAGCAGGGGAUCGCAAGACCUUGCGCGAAUGGAGCGGCCGAUGGCAGAUUAGGUAGUUGGUGAGGUAAAGGCUCACCGAGCCUUCGAUCUGUAGCUGGUCUGAGAGGACGACCAGCCACACUGGGACUGAGACACGGCCCAGACUCCUACGGGAGGCAGCAGUGGGGAAUUUGGACAAUGGGCGAAAGCCUGAUCCAGCCAUGCCGCGUGCAGGAUGGAAGCCGUUCGGUGUAAACUGUCUUUGUACGGAACGAAAGUCUCUUUACGUAAUAAAGAGGAUACAUGACGUACCGUAAGAAUAAGACGACCGACUAACUACGUACG